This 74-nucleotide transfer RNA is filed under the name Bacteroidota bacterium. Its description in RNAcentral is "Bacteroidetes bacterium tRNA-Phe". It matches the Rfam family "tRNA". Rfam says of the family: Transfer RNA (tRNA) molecules are approximately 80 nucleotides in length. Their secondary structure includes four short double-helical elements and three loops (D, anti-codon, and T loops). Further hydrogen bonds mediate the characteristic L-shaped molecular structure. tRNAs have two regions of fundamental functional importance: the anti-codon, which is responsible for specific mRNA codon recognition, and the 3' end, to which the tRNAs corresponding amino acid is attached (by aminoacyl-tRNA synthetases). tRNAs cope with the degeneracy of the genetic code in two manners: having more than one tRNA (with a specific anti-codon) for a particular amino acid; and 'wobble' base-pairing, i.e. permitting non-standard base-pairing at the 3rd anti-codon position. The record is from RNAcentral. Lineage: Bacteria; Pseudomonadati; Bacteroidota.
GCCGUCGUAGCUCAGUUGGUAGUAGCAGUAGACUGAAAAUCUAUGUGUCGGUGGUUCGAUUCCACUCGUCGGCA